GUAGGGGGCAAGCGUUGUCCGGAUUUAUUGGGCGUAAAGAGCGUGUAGGCGGCCAAACAGGUCAGCUGUGAAAACUCGAGGCUCAACCUCGAGACGUCGGUUGAAACCGUUUGGCUAGAGUCCGGAAGAGGAGAGUGGAAUUCCCGGUGUAGCGGUGAAAUGCGCAGAUAUCGGGAAGAACACCUAUGGCGAAGGCAGCUCUCUGGGACGGUACUGACGCUGAGACGCGAAAGCGUGGGGAGCGAACAGGAUUAGAUACCCUGGUAGUCCACGCCGUAAACGAUGGGCACUAGGUGUGGCGGGUGUCGACUCCCGCUGUGCCGAAGCUAACGCAUUAAGUGCCCCGCCUGGGGAGUACGGCCGCAAGGCUA
This 371-nucleotide ribosomal RNA is filed under the name uncultured bacterium. RNAcentral describes it as "bacterial SSU rRNA". It matches the Rfam family "Bacterial small subunit ribosomal RNA", at positions 527 to 896 of the family's 1533-position model. The record is from RNAcentral.